UACAGAGGUCUCAAGCGUUUGUUCGGAUUCAUUGGGCGUAAAGGGUGCGUAGGUGGCGCGCUAAGUCAGGUGUGAAAUUUCGGAGCUUAACUCCGAAACUGCAUUUGAUACUGGCGUGCUUGAGGACUGGAGAGGAGACUGGAAUUCAUGGUGUAGCAGUGAAAUGCGUAGAGAUCAUGAGGAAGACCAGUGGCGAAGGCGGGUCUCUGGACAGUUCCUGACACUGAGGCACGAAGGCCAGGGGAGCAAACGGGG
Molecule: ribosomal RNA, 255 nt
Filed under: uncultured bacterium
Lineage: Bacteria
Description: partial 16S ribosomal RNA
Rfam family: Bacterial small subunit ribosomal RNA
Source: RNAcentral